Molecule: ribosomal RNA, 422 nt
Filed under: uncultured bacterium
Lineage: Bacteria
Description: bacterial SSU rRNA
Rfam family: Bacterial small subunit ribosomal RNA
Source: RNAcentral
UGAGGAAUAUUGGGCAAUGCCCGAAAGGGUGACCCAGCAACGCCGCGUGGAGGAUGAAGGUCGUAAGAUUGUAAACUCCUGUUAGAGGGGAAGAAUAACUAAGUUUGGAGCUUAGUAUGACUGUACCCUCAGAGAAAGCCCCGGCUAACUACGUGCCAGCAGCCGCGGUAAUACGUAGGGGGCAAGCGUUGUCCGGAUUUACUGGGUGUAAAGGGCGCGCAGGCGGAAUGGAAAGUCAGUGGUGAAAUCCUACAGCUUAACUGUAGAACUGCCUUUGAUACUUUCAUUCUUGAGUUCGGGAGAGAGAGACGGAAUUCCAGGUGUAGUGGUGGAAUGCGUAGAUAUCGGGAGGAACACCUGUGGCGAAAGCGGCAUUCUGGCCCUCACCUGACGCUGAGGUGCGAAAGCGUGGGUAGCAAACA